Non-coding RNA from Pelobates cultripes (western spadefoot toad), 250 nucleotides. NCBI's taxonomy places the organism in Eukaryota, Metazoa, Chordata, Amphibia, Anura, Pelobatidae. The record is from the annotation of a GenBank genome assembly.
GUGAGGGAAUGGGAGACUAGUGGCAGAGUGAGGGAGGGAAGGGGUGACUAGUGACAGAGUGAGGGGAUGACUGGUGACAGAGUGAGGGGGGGGUGACUGUCACUAGUCACCCCAUCCCUCUCUCUGUCACUAGUUACUCCCUCCCUAACUCUGUCACUGUGUCACCCGCUCCCUCACUCUGUCACUAGUCACCCCCUUACUCUGUCACUGUGUUACCCCUCCCUCUGUCACUAGUCACCCCCUCCCUCAC